CGCGGCCUAUCAGCUUGUUGGUGAGGUAAUGGCUCACCAAGGCGACGACGGGUAGCUGUUCUGAGAGGAAGAUCAGCCACACUGGGACUGAGACACGGCCCAGACUCCUACGGGAGGCAGCAGUGGGGAAUCUUGCGCAAUGGGCGAAAGCCUGACGCAGCAACGCCGCGUGCGGGAAGACGGCCUUCGGGUUGUAAACCGCUUUCAGUAGGGACGAAAUUGACGGUACCUGCAGAAGAAGCCCCGGCCAACUACGUGCCAGCAGCCGCGGUAAGACGUAGGGGGCGAGCGUUGUCCGGAAUUAUUGGGCGUAAAGGGCUCCUAGGCGGUUCAGUAAGUCGACUGUGAAAAUCCAAGGCUCAACUUUGGGACGCCAGUCGAUACUGCUGUGACUCGAGUCCGGUAGAGGAGUGUGGAAUAUCUGGUGUAGCGGUGAAAUGCGCAGAUAUCAGAUGGAACACCAACGGCGAAGGCAGCACUCUGGGCCGGUACUGACGCUGAAGAGCGAAAGCAUGGGGAGCAAACAGGAUUAGAUACCCUGGUAGUCCAUGCCGUAAACGUUGGGCACUAGGUGUGGGGUCUUAUCAACGGAUUCCGUGCCGCAGCUAACGCAUUAAGUGCCCCGCCUGGGGAGUACGGA
Molecule: ribosomal RNA, 640 nt
Filed under: uncultured Actinomycetes bacterium
Lineage: Bacteria; Bacillati; Actinomycetota; Actinomycetes
Description: bacterial SSU rRNA
Rfam family: Bacterial small subunit ribosomal RNA
Source: RNAcentral